RNAcentral lists this long non-coding RNA (882 nucleotides) under Homo sapiens (human). RNAcentral's name for it is "HSALNT0095995". The record is from RNAcentral. Lineage: Eukaryota; Metazoa; Chordata; Mammalia; Primates; Hominidae.
GUAAAGUGUAACUAUUCUUACUCUCUGAAACGUGUCCUUUCUUUUUCUGUUCUUCACUUGAGUGCUGUAAUGUCUUACCUGAAAUCUAGAGAUCUCAGGAAGGUAUUCUUGACUAUGGGUGGAUGUUAAGUCCACGUUUCUGUAAAUGAAUAAGGGCUGGAACCUUCUAUUCCAUCAUCUUGCUAACAUCACUCUGUAAUACCUUUCCAAUGGGGCUUCCUGUUUGGGGUCUCUCUACCUCUUAAUCAUUCGAGGUAAGAACUAAUCUUACUUACAUACUUUCUUCAUGUCAGUCCUAGACUCAAGAACUUCUGAUAGCUUUAAUAUGACUAUCAAAUAUAAGUUCAAACCUCUCUUUCUGACAUUCCAGGUCCUGCCACUGGGCUAUCACACCUGCUCUGCUUUCCUCACCUAUGGUUUGUACCCCAGUCAUUUGGAUUCUCUUAUUGAGACCCAGAGAAAACCCUGUGCCUUCCUGUUCUUUCAUCUUUGCCCUUGCUCUUGACAUUGCCUCUCUAUUGUCAUUCAUCUCUUUAAAUUAUUCUCAACUACUUCAAGUUCUACUUACAUUACCAAAUAAUCUACAAAAAGCCACUCCAUAAUAAUUUCAGCCCAUAGCAACCUAUAUUCUAUUUUUCUUUUCAUAAUACUUAGUAGGAGUUCUCCAUAUUUCUAUAUUUGAUUUUCUUCAAUGUGUAUGUUGUCUGCUAAUAUUAUCUAAUGUUUCAACUGCAAGUUCUGUUCUAAAAAGUCUCAGGAUUUCCUCCUGUGCAUUUUAACUCUGAGUAAGGUAGGCAGGAUGCCUUGCAUUCAGCUUUAUUGUCCAGAGAGAUGAAGACAGUUCCUGAAGGUACAGAUGGAGAAGAUAGUCCAGAGAAGGUG